UUCCGGAAGCAAGGAGGAAGGAAUGCUUUAUAGGUGGGUGGGUUUGAAGGAAAGGAAGAACAGCGCAUGCGUGGUUGUGCUCCGGCCGUUUAUUUGGAGCACGCACUCCUAAGGACACGAAGGUCGAAGUGCUCUCCUCCAUAUUCAGCCAGGUCCAAAGAGUCUAUGGAGUUUAUGACUGGAUGACCUAUCUAAUGGUGGGAGAGAAAUCCUGGGCCUAAUGAUUGUGCUUGUUUACUGUGUUCAAUCUGAAUCUAGAUUGGAAGAGUUGAAGAGCAGGCAAAAUAUCAAAGAAAAUAGGACUACUACUCUGGAAAUUUGGAAAUCUAUUAUCCAUAGGCCAAGAAGAACAACCCAAGGACUCUAUUUUUGAAGGUCAUUAAAGUUUAGAUAAGUCUAGAGGAGAGAUUAGAGAUCAACCCACUUGAUGCAUUAUUAGAAAGAUUCAUGGUACUGAUUACUUCCUUUAGCAUUUGACUCUUGGUCCUUUUGUUGCAAGCUCCUUAUUCCUGAGAAACUGGCUGUGGUCACCAUAGUGGGUCAAAAAAAACCCUUAGUGGCAGAGGUUGGGAAUUACCAUCCUCUAAACCCAAGCGUGUCAUUGAUGUCUUGAACAUAUUACCAGAUACUCAUGAUACAUAGGAUAGACUUCACCCUUGGGAGAAUGACCUUCUGAAAAGAAGUAUGGAAUCAUCAUUAGAGCCAUUAGAGGGGACAUCUCAAAGUCAUAUAGAUAAGAUUUCACAAGAUCCAUCUGUGCUCCCAGUCCAGAGAGGAAAGCAAGACCCACGUCCAAAAAAGCAUAGGCAUCCUAAGAAGGGUGAAAGGACAAAGAGAAUGAAAAAGAGAAAGAAGAAGGAGAAAAUGAAGGCCCAGUGCCCCCCGAGUCUUCUAACAUCUUUGGCACCACCACAAAGAGAAGAAGAUGAAACUACAGAUAAAACACCAGCCCUACACAGUACCGAAAAUGAUUCUGUCUUUCACCAUGAGGACAGGGUACAGAGACAGCAGGACAAGAGUCCCUGUGUGAUGGAUCUGGAAUGUCAGAUCCAGCCCUGUGAGCUCUCAGUGGCUCAGGAACCUGGGCCACCUUCACCUGCAGUGACAUCCUUGGCAUCACCACCACCCUGCUUUGGUCGUUUCCUAAGCUGUGUCUGUCAGACCUUCUCAAAAUCUAGGAAAAGGAAACUUUGCAGAAGAAAGAGCAGCAACCAAGAUGAAACAGGAGGUGAUGCUAAAGUUCCAAGACCUGGUCAGCUAAGUGACCUGGGCCAAAACAAAAUGUAACCUCACCAAAGCCUGUAGCAAGAUGGAAUUGAUAUAGCUUCUGCUCAUGUUUGGUUUUAUAGUUUUUUUCUAUAUGUCAUUGUUCCUGUUAGUUGGCUUUAACUCUAUCAAAUAGAGUUCAACUCUAUCAAACUUCUUUUAUGCUGAGAUUCACAAGCUUAAAGAGGAAGUAAAAACAAAGUAAAAGUAACUUUGAGGGUUUUAACUCUAUACCCAGUGAUGGGAUUACUUCCUUCUUCCUUCACAUUAGUCUGAAGUGGGAUUCACUUUUGUGUUUACUCAUGUAUUCAGCCAACUUAAUUUUGCCUGACUUCUCUGAGAAUGGGAGGCCAUACAAAUCUGUCAUUUUGAGUAGUUUCCUCCAAUAUCAACAACCAUGUUGCUACUCCUCAUACUCGGCUUCUCUCUUUCUCUUUUACUUUUGGCUGGAGAUUUAUUUUGCAUUUUAAACCUUCAGUUGCUUGGUUGAAAUUCUGCCACUUAUUAUCUGAUUUGAAUAACCCUAAGGGUAUGGUGGCUGUUUCUGUUCUCCAAUGGAUACAACUGUGUUCUCAGAAUUCUAUCUCUAACCAGUGUUUGUUUUCCUUUUGGCCACUUGUUAGUAAGACACUUGGUUUUUCCUUCUGAUGUGUGUCUUUGGUAUUUUUUAAAAAUUCCUAUGUAUUGAAAACAGUCACCCAAGGCAGUGUUCCUUCCUUGUCAUUUUUUAGUCAGGCUUUCACAGAGCUUUGAGUUUCUUGUGAGAAUCCUAAAGAAGAUAAACUUUUCUUUAAAAGUUAAAGGUCAUUUCAUUUACCUUUAUUCUGUUGUGUUUGGUUAAUCUUUUUGCUAGGAUAUAAAAUAAGACUUCAGUUUAUUUGGUGCUGGGGUUUGAACCUAGGAUACUAACUAAACAGGUGCUCUACCACUGGCCAUAUCCUCAGCCCAAAAUAGAAGUUUAAAUUAAUCUUAUACCUUCUUUUGAGAAAGUAUGUUUAAGAAAAUUUAGGAGAUUCCCUGUAGUUUCCAUUACCUGUUAUUUACCAUGUAUCCCAGUUUAUCAACUCAUAUAAGAAAAAUAUAAAUAUAAAUAUAAAUAAAUAUGUGUUGAAAAUA
Non-coding RNA from Ictidomys tridecemlineatus (thirteen-lined ground squirrel), 2382 nucleotides. The record is from RefSeq and is a predicted model, not a curated record. Lineage: Eukaryota; Metazoa; Chordata; Mammalia; Rodentia; Sciuridae.